AUUGAACGCUGGCGGCAUGCCUUACACAUGCAAGUCGAACGGCAGCGGACCUUCGGGUGCCGGCGAGUGGCGAACGGGUGAGUAAUAUAUCGGAACGUACCUUUCAGUGGGGGAUAACGUAGCGAAAGUUACGCUAAUACCGCAUAUUCUGUGAGCAGGAAAGCAGGGGAUCGCAAGACCUUGCGCUGAUGGAGCGGCCGAUAUCAGAUUAGCUAGUUGGUGAGGUAAAGGCUCACCAAGGCGACGAUCUGUAGCGGGUCUGAGAGGAUGAUCUGCCACACUGGAACUGAGACACGGUCCAGACUCCUACGGGAGGCAGCAGUGGGGAAUUUUGGACAAUGGGCGCAAGCCUGAUCCAGCCAUGCCGCGUGAGUGAAGAAGGCCUCGGUUGUAAGGUACUACUUUCGGUCCGGGUAACGGAAAGUACGAC
RNAcentral lists this ribosomal RNA (430 nucleotides) under uncultured bacterium. RNAcentral's name for it is "bacterial SSU rRNA". It matches the Rfam family "Bacterial small subunit ribosomal RNA", at positions 30 to 465 of the family's 1533-position model. The record is from RNAcentral.